This is a long non-coding RNA of Oryza brachyantha (malo sina), 1622 nucleotides long. RefSeq lists it as uncharacterized. NCBI's taxonomy places the organism in Eukaryota, Viridiplantae, Streptophyta, Magnoliopsida, Poales, Poaceae. The transcript is spliced from 3 exons. The record is from RefSeq and is a predicted model, not a curated record.
CCCUGUGCCUCUCUAGUGCUCCCCUCGCACCUCGGCUGCUCCGUCUUCCCCCCCACCCCUCACCCCAAAAUCAUCUUCGUGCCUCGUGGAUCCAGCCGCAGCCGGUGCCGGUGCCUCCGUCUCUCCGUGGAGCCAUCGCCGCCUACGCGUUGAUCCCGUGGUCAACACCGCUUGUUUUCCCUCAUGCUCGCGGGGACCGGCCGAUGUUGUCGUCGUCGCUUGCCCAUUGAGCUUGCAAAGCUAACCAGCGGCAUUGCCACCCCAUGGAUCCAGUGAUGAGUGCCUGAUUUUUCCGCUUGUAUCGACCUCGUCGAGCCAACUAGUGCUGCUGGAUUUAAUUUUUUUUUACUUUGCUUGAUUCACUCUGGCUUAGAUUUGUGUACUUUGCUUGCUUCACUCUGGUUUAGAUCCGUUUUGGGGGAUUUUUUUUUUCUGAAGAGGUGAAUGAAUUGCCUCUCCAUAAAAUUAAUUUGUUGAUUUGUUUAGGUUUGAUCUCACACAAUGUGCUGUGGUUUGGGAUUGGACAGAGGAGGAAGGUGGGUAUUGGGGUUGAUGUAGGUCCAAUUUAGCAGCGAAUCAUCAAGUUGAACAUGCGCUCCAUACCAUGCACUCCAUUGCAAGUUAAUUGCGAAAUUUUUUAAUGGCUGCUGCAUCUUCUCAGUAUAGGUGUGCGAAGAGUUUAUUGCUGGUAGGUUUUGGUUGUGUGAACAUGAACCACUUGAAAGUUUGUGAAGAAGGUUUUUUUUCUGGGAUGUGAAAGUGACACAUACGAAAGAGUACUAGUUGGGCAUGUGUUUGAUUUGCUUUGCUUCUAGCUAGGCUCCUGGAUCUAUAUGAUCAUGUGCAAUCAUACAGGCCAAUAUCCUUUGUGCCAAUUCUCUAGAGAAAUCGGUCUGCAGUAGCAAGAGAUACAAGAGAGGUGGGACUUCACUCCCCUAGCUAUAUGUGAUCCUCAUGCUUGUUCUAUGUAUAAUUGAAUGUGUGUCAAUUCUUUCAUAUUGUUCCCCGAAAGGCUUUGGCCCCACUAACAUUUUUGGCAACAAGUGGAUUGCCCUAGUCCAGUUUGAUGGCUUAGAUGAUUCAGAGUAAGAAGAGUUGAAGAAAUCUAGUUUUCACAAGGAGAGGUACCAGUGUCUCCCAAUGAACCAUGGCUCUUUCGUGAGAUUGAGCUAUGCUCUGAAUAUGCCAUUUAUCUGUGUAAUUCAGGUUACACUCUUCAAUUUUGUGUUGGUUUUGGUUACAUACUUGAUUUUCAGCAAACUGGACAUGGAAAAUUCAGUGUUGCGUUCAAAGUUCUGAAGAGGACGGAUGGCUGCUUAUAUUGUGUAAAAAUGCAUCAGGCAACUGCAUAAUGACAGGGAAAGCUAGUCUUGCAGCAGUCGUUCAAAGUUCUGAAUGUGCAUGAAUUGUAGAAAGCAUGUGUACUUUGGGUGAGUGUUUGUCAUGUGAAAGUAUCUCAAUUACAUGGCAUGCUGAUGCUUAAUUAAAUAAUUGAUUAUGCAUCAGAAAUUGAUCAUGCAUGCGUUGUGUGCUUGUUUCUCUGUGGAUUCUUAUGGCACAAGCUGCUGCAAGAUUAGCACUUUAAGUAACAGAAUUCUGCACAUUAUUUUUGUCUGCGAAAA